RNAcentral lists this ribosomal RNA (1904 nucleotides) under human gut metagenome. Its description in RNAcentral is "bacterial LSU rRNA". It matches the Rfam family "Bacterial large subunit ribosomal RNA", at positions 468 to 2461 of the family's 2925-position model. The record is from RNAcentral.
AAAUACUACCCAGUGACCGAUAGCGUAUAGUACUGUGAAGGAAAGGUGAAAAGCACCCCGGGAGGGGAGUGAAAAAGAACCUGAAACCCUGUGCCUACAAGCACCUAGAGCACGUCAAUGUGUGAUAGGGUACUUUUUGUAGAACGGUCCGGCGAGCGAUUGUAUGCAGCAAGGUUAAGGACUUAAGGUCUGGAGCCGAAGCGAAAGCGAGUUUGAAAAGGGCGUUAAGUUGCAUACAAUGGGCCCGAAACCGGGUGACCUACCCAUGGUCAGGUUGAAGUGGAAGUAAAAUUCCAUGGAGGACCGAACCGACCUCCGUUGAAAAGGCGGCGGAUGAACUGUGGGUAGCGGAGAAAUUCCAAUCGAACCCGGAGAUAGCUGGUUCUCCCCGAAAUAGUUUUAGGACUAGCCUCAAGUUAGAUACCUGGAGGUAAAGCACUGAAUAGCCUAGCGGCCGAGAGGUUAGCGAAGCUUAUCAAACUCAGAAUGCCAGAGUAUUGAUGCUUGGGAGUCAGACAGUGUCAGAUAAAUGUCAUUGUCAAAAGGGAAACAGCCCAGAUCUACAGCUAAGGUCCCAAAGUCAGGUUAAGUGGAAAACGAUGUGAAGAUACGUAGACAACCAGGAUGUUGGCUCAGAAGCAGCCACACAUUCAAAGAGUGCGUAAUAGCUCACUGGUCGAGCGUCUUUGCGCGGAGAAUUUAACGGGGCUAAACCUGACACCGAAGCUUAGGCAAUACAGCAAUGUAUUGGGUAGGGGAGCGUUGUAUACGCGGUGAAACAGUAGCGCAAGCGGCUGUGGAGUGUAUAGAAGUGAGAAUGCCGGAAUGAGUAGCGCGAAUGCAGUGAGAAUCUGCAUGGCCGAAAGCCUCAGGUUUCUGGAGGAAGGUUCGUCCGCUCCAGGUUAGUCGGGAGCUAAGGUGAGGCCUAACGGCGUAGCCGAUGCACAGACGGUAGAGAUUCCGUCACCACCAAAAGAGUUAAACACAGGGACACAUUUGAAGUCUCGGAGCCGGGUGUUGGUUCCGGUAGCGAUCGAGGGAAGUUAGUACCGAAGUCCGGGAUGGAAGAUGGCGAGAAAAGCUGUGUGUAUUUCUGCGGUGCCCGUACCGCAAACCGACACAGGUAGGUAGGAAGAAGAUUCUAAGGCCAACGGGAGAAGGGUUGUUAAGGAACUCGGCAAAUUGACCCCGUAACUUCGGGAGAAGGGGUGCUCCAGAGAUGGAGCCGCAGAGAAUCGGCCCAAGCAACUGUUUACCAAAAACACAGGUUUGUGCUAAAUCGAAAGAUGACGUAUACGAGCUGACGCCUGCCCGGUGCUGGAAGGUUAAGAGGAGAUGUGCAAGCAUUGAAUCGAAGCCCCAGUGAACGGCGGCCGUAACUAUAACGGUCCUAAGGUAGCGAAAUUCCUUGUCAGGUAAGUUCUGACCCGCAUGAAAGGCGUAAUGAUUUGGGCACUGUCUCGACAGCCCGCCCGGCGAAAUUGUAGUACCGGUGAAGAUGCCGGUUACCCGCGACAAGACGGAAAGACCCCAUGGAGCUUUACUGUAGCCUAAUAUUGGGUUUCGAUGUUGCAUGCACAGGAUAGAUGGGACACUGGGAAGCAAGUGCUUUGGCAUUUGUGGAGUGGCCGUUGGGAUACCAUCCUUGCGAUAUUGGAAUUCUAACCUGCGCCUUUGAAUCAAGGCGGGGGACAUUGUUAGGUGGGCAGUUUGACUGGGGCGGUCGCCUCCUAAAGAGUAACGGAGGCGUUCAAAGGUUCGCUCAGCUUGAACGGAAAUCAAGCAAAAGAGUGCAAACGCAGAAGCGAGCCUAACUGCGAGACUGACGGGUCGAGCAGUAACGAAAGUUGGAGUUAGUGAUCCGGUGGUAUGUGAGUGGAAAUGCCAUCGCUCAACGGAUAAAA